CUGGACGACCCUUCGGGGAGCUUGUACAGGUGCUGCAUGGCUGUCGUCAGCUCGUGUCGUGAGAUGUUCGGUUAAGUCCGCUAACGAGCGCAACCCUCGCUGUGUGUUACAAGUGUCACACGGAACUGCCGGGUCAUAAACCGGAGGAAGGUGGGGAUGACGUCAAGUCAGCAUGGCCUUUAUAUCCUGGGCUACACACACGCUACAAUGGGAAGGGACAAUAGGUUGUGAAGCCGCGAGGCGGAGCCAAUCCAGCAAAACUUCCCUCAGUUCAGAUUGCAGGCUGCAACUCGCCUGCAUGAAGUUGGAGUUGCUAGUAAACGCAGGUCAGCCAUACUGCGUUGAAUACGUUCCCGGGGCUU
This 362-nucleotide ribosomal RNA is filed under the name uncultured Anaerolineaceae bacterium. RNAcentral's name for it is "bacterial SSU rRNA". It matches the Rfam family "Bacterial small subunit ribosomal RNA", at positions 1008 to 1382 of the family's 1533-position model. Lineage: Bacteria; Bacillati; Chloroflexota; Anaerolineae; Anaerolineales; Anaerolineaceae. The record is from RNAcentral.